UGCUUCAACUUCCUCGAUUGUAGACAUUGUCACAAACCCAAACCCACGGCUCUGUCCUGAAUUUUUGUCAUAAAUAACCUCCACCAUCUCCACCGUCCCGGCACUCUCGAACAGCCCCGCUAGCUUGGCGCUAUCAACGCUAAACGGUAAAUUCCCCACAAACAGCUUCAAAUCCGGCGAGAAAUUCGCAUCCCGCCGCUGCCCCUGCCCCUCCUCCUCGUCCUGCUCAAGCUCCGACUCCACCGUCGAAUACCUCACCACCCCCGCUCCAGCGCCCCGGCCACUCCUCGGAGCGGCAUGGAACGACAGCGAAAGCGACGCGUGCUUUAGAGAAAGACGCGAGGGGGAGGAAACGGCUAGGGUUAGGGUUUUGAGCUUCGAGGAGACGAGGGGGAGAUGGGGGGAUAGGGUGGGGAGGAUGAGGGAAUGAGCCGCCAUUGG
This 441-nucleotide unclassified non-coding RNA is filed under the name Hevea brasiliensis (rubber tree). The record is from RNAcentral. Lineage: Eukaryota; Viridiplantae; Streptophyta; Magnoliopsida; Malpighiales; Euphorbiaceae.